AAAGAAACUAACCAGGAUUCCCCUAGUAACGGCGAGUGAAGCGGGAAAAGCUCAAAUUUGUAAUCUGGCGCCUUUGGCGUCCGAGUUGUAAUCUCGAGAAGUAUUUUCCGCGCUGGACCGCACAUAAGUCUGUUGGAAUACAGCGUCAUAGUGGUGAGAACCCCGUAUAGGGUGCGGAUGCCCAGUGCUUUGUGAUCUACUUUCGAAGAGUCSAGUUGUUKGGRAAUGCAGCUCAAAUUGGKKGGUAAAUUCCAUCUAAAGCUAAAUAUUGGCGAGAGACCGAUAGCGAACAAGUACCGUGAGGGAAAGAUGAAAAGCACUUUGGAAAGAGAGUUAACAGUACGUGAAAUUGUUGGAAGGGAAACGCUUGAAGUCAGACUUGCAUUUUGGAGUUCAGCCGCAAGGUGUAUUCUUCAAUUCGCAGGCCAGCAUCAGUUUUUGGGGGUGGAAAAGCGUGGUUUGAAGGUAGCAGCUUCGGCUGUGUUAUAGCUUUCCACUGGAUUCACUUUUGGGGACUGAGGAACGCAGUACGCUUUUUGCAAGAUCUUCGGAUCUUUCGUACUUAGGAUGCUGGUGGAAUGGCUUUAAACGACCCGUCUUGAAACACGGACCAAGGAGUCUAACAUGUUUGCGAGUGUUUGGGUGUUAAACCCGGACGCGUAAUGAAAGUGAAUGGAGGUGGGAUCCGCAAGGUGCACCAUCGACCGAUCUGGAUUUUCUAAGAUGGAUUUGAGUAAGAGCAAAUUAUGUUGGGACCCGAAAGAUGGUGAACUAUGC
Molecule: ribosomal RNA, 777 nt
Filed under: Microbotryum silenes-inflatae
Lineage: Eukaryota; Fungi; Basidiomycota; Microbotryomycetes; Microbotryales; Microbotryaceae
Description: LSU rRNA
Rfam family: Eukaryotic large subunit ribosomal RNA
Source: RNAcentral